This 330-nucleotide long non-coding RNA is filed under the name Malus domestica (apple). RNAcentral describes it as "long non-coding RNA (MDOM_LNC012163)". The record is from RNAcentral. Lineage: Eukaryota; Viridiplantae; Streptophyta; Magnoliopsida; Rosales; Rosaceae.
AAAAGCUUCACUUGCAAAGCUUCACUUACAAAGCUUCAGUGCAGGGUAUACAAAUAACGCCUCCGAACAACUGCCACUUCGGCCCAUACAUGGAUUCAAUUUGAAGUCUCCAGCCAACAGGCUCUAUUGACUGAAGACUUGGGGGACUACAUUAUGUACCAUAUAUUGGGCCUCAACUGGGCCUCAUGAAAAAUACUUGGGGGACUCUAGCCCAUUAUUUAUGUAUUGAGGAGCGAGCCCUUAUUUUAUAAAAGGGACUCCCUCACCAUCAUUAGAGAGCAUCAACUCUAGCCCAUAUUUAUGUAUUGAGGAGCGAGCCCUUAUUUUAUA